CUAAGAGAUUGUAUCUUAUAUUACGCUAAGAAUUUCACCCUAAUUAAGAGUAUGAUUAAUGAGAAGUUCUUAAGUUGGAGUUCUUAUCAAAAUAUAAGAACCCGUCUCUUAACUUAACUAGAAUAGCUAAGAACCAGCUUUUAAAUAUCUUAUUUAAGAGUCAGUUCUUAGCUUUUUUAGUUAAAAGUUAAAAAACGGUUUUUUAUUUUCCGAUAAGAACUCCACCCUAAGAAGUAAGAACCUUCAUUAAUCAUGCUCUUAGAACUGUAUUUGCGGGAGGAUCUUUUUCUUUUUCUAAAUAAAUGCAUUUAUAGCAAAAUAAAAUCAUAUAUUUGGAUUUAGCGGAAAAAAAAAGAACACUUGAGCUUGAUCGAAUCAAUAUAAUAACAGUAUAUUUGUUUGGGCUAUGCAAUGCUCCAAAAAUCAUUUGUCAAUCAAUCCUAUAACUAGAGAUGGCAGUUCAAGGGCUUGCCCGCGGGCCUGACCCGAAAAGGCCCAUUGCGGGGCGGGAUUGGGCAAAGAUAUUGUGGCCCGUUUAGUUGCGGGUCUGGCGGGACAGGACCGCGGCGGUACUGGGCCGAAGCGGGACGGGCCGAAGCGGGAUGCGGGCAAACAUUGAGGCCCGCUACACUUUUCUCACCGAGAACAGAGCUCCAUCAGGUUGUGGGCUCUAAGUGGCGGAGUUCUAAGUCACAAUUCUUCACCAAAGUGGUUUGUUUGGUACAGGGGAGUACCAGCUUCACAGCAGAACCUUGAAGACUGAUGAAAUUUGUGCAGAUUCAAGAUAUCAUUUUGAUCUAAUCGUGACUUGUGGUUCACGAAACCAUUUGAGGUCCUUUGUAGUCAUAAGCUAUAGUUAAGAAUUCCUUUGUUCUUGGUCCCACGAGACAUGACUGUUGGACAUUUCAUUCACAUGCUAAGCAAUAGACUACACCGAACUAUAUCCAAAGCUCUGUUUGUUUUAGUACAGAACACACUUCCUCAACAGGUACCUAAUUAUCCAGCAUCCAUGUUCAAAAAAUCUAUUAAUAAUGCAUUUACUCUUAUCUUUCUUCUCUACAGCUGCUCCCAUGGACUCUUUGAACAAUACUGCCGUCUCCAAGCCCAGCUUCAAAAGCAUAGGAGAUGAGAGCAUGCUUAAGAUCACUAAAACGAAACCACAAGUAUAAUGAACCGAUGUCCCGCGGGCCGACCCGCAAAGCCCAUGUACUAUGCGGGGCGGGAUUGGUCAGCCCUCGACAAGACCGCAUCCCGCGCGGGCCUGUCCCGCUGAGACCCAUUUGAACUGAAGACCGCGGCGGGGCGGGACGGGACGGGACAGGAAGACCCAAUUGCCAUCUCUACCUAUAACUGUUGGGCAAAAUUUAAUAUACUCUCUUAUACUUUUAAUAGAUGACGUUUUGGAAAAAUUUACUUGCAUUAAAUUAGAUGACGUUUUAAAUUUUAAUGCAAUUUUUUGUAACCUUACAUGUUAUAUAACUUUUAUUUCCUACAGUAUGUUAUUAAUGGAUUAAAAUUUGGUUAGGUUGAUAGUUAAUAAUGUUUUUAUUCUAAAAAAACUGUAAUAAGAAUUUUUUUUUUUUAAUUUGUGUGCGCAAGUAUAAAACGUUAAGUAAUAAAAAAACCGAGGGAGUAGCUUUAUUGAUUUUCUUUCUAUAAUUUAAUUUGACUAAAUUAAGUACCGUUACUUUAUUAAUCUAUAAAUAGGGUUUCACAAUUAAAUGAAGACCAUUCAUAUUAUCUUCAAUCUCUAAAACUGUAUGGAGAAAAUAUCAAUGAAACUUGCAUUCUUUAUCUUCAUAGCUAUUAGCUCCGGUAAAUAUUUAUAUUACAUAUUCCAUGUGUAAGAUCUAUUAUAAUAGUGUAUUAUUGCUAACAUAUGUUUUCUUAUGGUUUUCUAGUGAUGAGUAUCACAGAAACUGGAGCGAACCGGUUACUACAAGAUGAAGCUUCUCAAACUGUGUUGUUGCAACAUGAAGCUUCUUCGCAGGAGGCUAUCAACCCAAACAAAAUUCACUGCAAGAAAGGGUGUCAUAUUAAAUGUGUUCCCAAUCCAUUUAUUGUUGAAUGUUUUUGUCAAUGUUAAUUUCAAAUCGCUUAUUAUGAUAUCUAACGUCCAAAUAAGAUUUAUUUACGAUCAGUAAGAUGAUAUUUUAUUACUAGUUUUCCAUCUGACAUUCAUUAACUUUCAACCUUGACUGAUUAUAUACUCAUUCAACAGGUGAUCUAAUCUUAAAGCAAUAUUGAAACUCUGAAAAACUUAAUGAAGAUGAUAUAUAUUUCUCAUAUCGUUCAUCACUCAGAAUGUAAUGCAGUCGAUGAUAUACUCAUUCGA
Long non-coding RNA from Brassica napus (rape), 2335 nucleotides. RefSeq lists it as uncharacterized. The transcript has 4 exons. The record is from RefSeq and is a predicted model, not a curated record. Lineage: Eukaryota; Viridiplantae; Streptophyta; Magnoliopsida; Brassicales; Brassicaceae.